Molecule: small nuclear RNA, 353 nt
Filed under: Castor canadensis (American beaver)
Lineage: Eukaryota; Metazoa; Chordata; Mammalia; Rodentia; Castoridae
Description: 7SK RNA (ENSCCNG00000013571.1)
Rfam family: 7SK RNA
About the family: 7SK was discovered as an abundant small nuclear RNA in the mid-70s but a possible function has only recently been suggested.
Source: RNAcentral
GGAUGUGAGGGCGAUCUGGCUGCGACAUCUGUCACCCCAUUGAUCGCCAGGGUUGAUUCGGCUGAUCUGGCUGGCUAGGCGGGUGUCCCCUUCCUCCCUCACCGCUCCAUGUGCGUCCCUCCCGAAGCUGCGCGCUUGGUCGAAGAGGACGACCAUCCCCGAUAGAGGAGGACCGUUCUUCUGUCAAGGGUAUACGAGUAACUGCGCUCCCCUGCUAGAACCUCCAAACAAGCUCUCAAGAAAUCAUAAUACCAAACACUUAAUGAAAGGUACUUUGUUUCAUACUGUUCUGGGCUUACAGAUAUUUACUCAUUAAUUCCUUCAAGAAUACUAUGAGAUAGGUAUAAUUAUAU